RNAcentral lists this ribosomal RNA (253 nucleotides) under uncultured bacterium. RNAcentral describes it as "partial 16S ribosomal RNA". It matches the Rfam family "Bacterial small subunit ribosomal RNA", at positions 524 to 776 of the family's 1533-position model. The record is from RNAcentral.
UACGGAGGGUGCAAGCGUUAUCCGGAUUCACUGGGUUUAAAGGGUGCGUAGGUGGGAAUGUAAGUCAGUGGUGAAAUCUCCGUGCUUAACAUGGAAACUGCCAUUGAUACUAUGUUUCUUGAAUUUUCUGGAGGUUAGCGGAAUAUGUCAUGUAGCGGUGAAAUGCUUAGAUAUGACAUAGAACACCAAUUGCGAAGGCAGCUGGCUACACGAAUAUUGACACUGAUGCACGAAAGCGUGGGGAUCAAACAGG